CCUACGGGGUGCAGCAGUGAGGAAUAUUGGUCAAUGGGCGAGAGCCUGAACCAGCCAAGUCGCGUGAGGGAGUACUUCUCUAUGGGUUGUAAACCUCUUUUGUCGGGGAGCAAAAGCCGGACGUGUCCGGCUGUGAGAGUACCCGAAGAAAAAGCAUCGGCUAACUCCGUGCCAGCAGCCGCGGUAAUACGGAGGAUGCGAGCGUUAUCCGGAUUUAUUGGGGUUAAAGGGUGCGCAGGCGGAUUUUUAAGUCAGCGGUCAAAUCGUGGGGCUCAACCCCAUCCAGCCGUUGAAACUGGGGAUCUAGAGUGUGCGAGAGGUAUGCGGAAUGCGUGGUGUAGCGGUGAAAUGCAUAGAUAUCACGCAGAACCCCGAUUGCGAAGGCAGCAUACCGGUGCACAACUGACGCUCAGGCACGAAAGCGUGGGUAUCGAACAGGAUUAGAUACCCCGGUAGUC
This 458-nucleotide ribosomal RNA is filed under the name uncultured bacterium. RNAcentral's name for it is "partial 16S ribosomal RNA". It matches the Rfam family "Bacterial small subunit ribosomal RNA", at positions 338 to 795 of the family's 1533-position model. The record is from RNAcentral.